Amaranthus tricolor (Joseph's coat) is the source of this 572-nucleotide long non-coding RNA. RefSeq lists it as uncharacterized. Lineage: Eukaryota; Viridiplantae; Streptophyta; Magnoliopsida; Caryophyllales; Amaranthaceae. The record is from RefSeq and is a predicted model, not a curated record. The transcript is spliced from 4 exons.
AUAUUGUGGGUGCCGCGUCAGCCACUAUAUAUGGUGGAUUGGUGGUGCUACCGCAUCUUUUUCUUUUUUUGUUUAGGGAAUAAAGUUUGAGAAAGGGUUCAUACUUGCUAUAAGGACUAGGGAGUAGGAACUCUCUCUUCUGCACAAUUUUCCCUUUUCAAUCUCAAAUUCACCAACUAUACCAAACCCUAACCCUAGACAACACCAACCAUGUCUUCCAAGCAAGGUGGAAAGGCCAAACCUUUGAAGCAACCUAAGAAGGAAAAAGUUGAGUUGGAUGAGGAUGAUAAGGCCAUGCUUCAAAGGAAGAAGGAAGAGGAGAAGGCACUCAAAGAACUCAGGGCCAAGGCACAGCAGAAGGGACAAUUUGGAGGUUCUGGACUGAAGAAGAGCGGAAAGAAAUGAUGACUCCUCGAAACCAAAUACAAUAUUGUAUUGUGUGAUAAGUUUUUAUGUGACGACUCCUUGAUUUGGUUUGUGUUAUAUGCUUGUUCAACUGUUAUAGUUGGUGGUUUUCUUCAUGUAAAACUAAUAAUUUAAGAAGAAUACUAGCUUGGUCAGCAUUUGAAUUA